CAUCACACUAACUCCAACGAUCUUGACGGAACUAUCCAUUUGCUAUUAGGGAAAGUCUCUCAAACUUUCUCUGCACUUUCCGUGCACAGUAAUUUUGAACCAUCAUCACUCGACUACUUUGGCAAGCUAGACCAUCAGACCACCACAUCACCUUGUUCUUCCCUAUCUCUAUUAAGCUUAGAUCGUGAACAUCAAACCCAGACGUGGAGCUUGCACCAUACGGUGGCCAUUGCCACUAUUCAUCAUCUUCUUCGACAAGUUCUCGUCGAUUCCACCAAGGUUUUAAUGGCUAAGCUUUUGUGUCGAUGAGGAUUUUUGACAAACUGUUGUUGUGGGAAUACUAUAGACGGUCCUAAUGAAUCGUAUAGCUAUAAGACCCCACCCCGGAUUAAUCAUGUAAUUGGUGGCACCAUUAUGUUUGGCAAUCAAUAAUGAUGGGGUUGGAAAGAAAAGAAGGAUCUAUAUACUCAAGGCAAGGGAUCAAUUGAUCAAGCUCGAUGAAUAUAUUGAUAUAGUAACAUGGAAGUCGAAAGAAAUACCUAGACUAGAAUACACAAUUGCUAAUUAAUGUGCUUAUUUUUUAUAUAUUAGUGACAUAUCACAUAAUUUGCAAAUGUAGUCUAAAAAUUUGAUUUACCUAGUAUUACUCAUACUUAGACAAUUACUAAAAAUACCCUAAAAUCUGAAGAUGUUGAUUUAACAUGAUAAGAGACAUAAAUAUCAUGAUAAAUUAAUGACAACAACUAGGGGUGGGCACGGACCAGGCCGGCCCAAAAUUGGAGGGACCAGACUAGACCUGGUUGAAAAUAAAACGGGACGAGACGGAUCUUACUAUUUCAAAAUUUGAAACCGAACCUAACCCGGCCCAUUUAAAACUGGCCGAUUCCUACGGUCCAACUGGUACAAUUUGUUUUUGUUUUCGUUUUUUUAAUUUUCAGUAUCCCAGUUGAAUUUCCACUCGACGAUUUCGGAUUCGAGUUCGAAAUCGAAUUGUUGGAGAGAAAGAGGACGAUGCUGGAGACAAAUCAGAGAACCAGAAAGCGGGCAUGAGCGAGAAAUAGGGAGUGAAGUGGAGUGGCGAGUAAGAUUCGAACUCAAAUUGCUCCUCGUUUUUUGGGUUUCAAAAAAUGAGAAUCUGAAAUUGGGUUUUGAAAGCACUAUGAGUUUUUUUUUUUUUUUUGUUGGCUGGUGCAGAAGAAUUGAGUGAGAGAAAGAUUUGUGAUGGAGGGUGAUGAAAAUGGUGGAGAAAAAGAAGGUGGAUCCGCGUCCCUGUUUCCUCAUACAGUGGAUGGAAUGGAGAAAAAGAUGAUCUGAUGGUGGAUGACCUUCUUUGCAGCAAAGGAAGAUUAAAUAAAUGAAGAAUCAAAACUAAAUAAAGAAAGAAAACAAAGGUAGUACUAGUGUACUGCAAUAAACAAAUGUCGUACUAGGAAGAGGAUCCUUUCCGGAUUCGUCUUGUGGGAAUCCUCCUAAUGGUUAAUCGUACAUCAUGUGAUCAAUUUACUUCAUGUACUAUUUAUGUUUAAUUUGAAAUAAAAAAAAAUUCAAAUAAUUU
Molecule: long non-coding RNA, 1555 nt
Organism: Pyrus x bretschneideri (Chinese white pear)
Lineage: Eukaryota; Viridiplantae; Streptophyta; Magnoliopsida; Rosales; Rosaceae
Exons: 3
Source: RefSeq, a predicted model, not a curated record